Molecule: long non-coding RNA, 490 nt
Filed under: Anser brachyrhynchus (Pink-footed goose)
Lineage: Eukaryota; Metazoa; Chordata; Aves; Anseriformes; Anatidae
Description: lncRNA (ENSABRG00000019914.1)
Source: RNAcentral
AUAGAAAAAGCAGCUUUUAGCACUGAAGACAAGCCCUAAAGGAGAUCCUGACAAGCAAUCUGUCUUGGGGGUAAUUUCCAGAUGGAUCCAGUGCAGAAACCACAUUCCUGAAACUAGUAGAUGAAAGCAUGGCAGCUGACAAAGCUUAAAUUUGUGACUCAGGCAAAUCUGUGUUUACCCAGGAGCAAGGACUGGAGCUCCAGCCUUCCAGGGAGUUUAUCACUCACCAGGUUGCUAACAUUAUGCUUUGAACAAAAUACCAGUGCCAGCAGCUUCCAGCAAAUGGAAAGUCACCAUAAAAAAAAAUGGAUAUCCAGUCCAUUGGCCAGCCAACAUACCUGCUCAGCUACAAGCAAGAAAGCCAAGCAGUUGGCCAGUUCCCAAAGAAGCUGGCCAGGCUGUGAGCCCAUCAGGCAGUUAUACCAUUAGCCAGGCAGCCAACUUGACUGACUUCUGACAAAAGCUUUCCAAGUAGCAUUGUGUCUCCAGG